This 254-nucleotide ribosomal RNA is filed under the name uncultured bacterium. RNAcentral's name for it is "partial 16S ribosomal RNA". It matches the Rfam family "Bacterial small subunit ribosomal RNA", at positions 524 to 776 of the family's 1533-position model. The record is from RNAcentral.
UACGGGGGGGGGCAAGCGUUGUUCGGAAUUACUGGGCGUAAAGGGUUUGUAGGUGGCUUGUUAAGUCAGACGUGAAAUCCCUCAGCUUAACUGGGGAACUGCGUCUGAGACUGGUGAGCUUGAGUGCAGGAGAGGAACGCGGAAUUCCAGGUGUAGCGGUGAAAUGCGUAGAUAUCUGGAGGAACACCGGUGGCGAAGGCGGCGUUCUGGACUGCAACUGACACUGAUGAACGAAAGCCAGGGGAGCAAACGGG